Molecule: non-coding RNA, 768 nt
Organism: Paramuricea clavata
Lineage: Eukaryota; Metazoa; Cnidaria; Anthozoa; Malacalcyonacea; Plexauridae
Source: the annotation of a GenBank genome assembly
AUGGAUAGUAUUUCGUCUGAAUCAGACUCUGAAACUGAUUCAGACACAAUACUAUCCAUUAAACCGCCCCCCCCCCAGGAGUGGGAUAGGUAAAAUCCAAAUCUGGUAAAAUUUUGGCCUAUUUAGUAAAAUUUUAGCAAAGGUUUAGUAAAAUCUGCUAACAAUCAUCUGGUCGCACUUGGCCUAGGUAUAGGCUGCCAUACAGAGAAUGCAGGGAUCCUUACAUGUUUAUAUACCUUGCUUAUGUUACUCUGUGAUCGAGGGUAUCGAUCAUUAUGGAUAAAUUAUCUCCAUGGAAUGAUAUCCCCUCCAUUAAAACAUCAUCAUAUUGAAUAUUGAUAAUACUGCAUGUGUCUAAUGUGUAUUUCUUCUGCAUUUUGCAGUUUGGAGAUGAUGAAGACGAAGUGGCAACCUUAUCUAAACAUCAUUUAUAAAUUUUGAAAUUGUUCGUUGGAACAGGCAGAAUUGGUCUUAGCACACAAGGAGAUAUUUAUUGCUACAGAGUAAAAACUACAUAUUCAUGGUACCAACUGGAGGAUAUGCAGAGUUCAUUAACUUUCUUCUUUUCGCAUAUAAUAUUUGUAAUAUGCAACAUCCCACUGAAUGUCCUAAUAUUUACAUAUUCAUGCAGCAAAAACUUCUCCAGGUAUUUGAUAAUUAAGUGAAGGUAACUUAUGAUACUUAUGGCAAAACUAUUUAAAAGCACAUAGUCAAAACUCAAGAUUCAUGUCGAUUUUUUCACACAAUAUUUUAACAGCACCAUAAGAG